Molecule: long non-coding RNA, 1163 nt
Filed under: Setaria viridis
Lineage: Eukaryota; Viridiplantae; Streptophyta; Magnoliopsida; Poales; Poaceae
Description: long non-coding RNA (SVIR_LNC008781)
Source: RNAcentral
UGCUGUGUGCCUGUGUGGAACUACAUGUGCAGGUUAUAUACAAAUCCAUGCAAGCUGGAGCCGGCGCAUCUUUAACUUUGUGGAAAGAUACCGUGUGUGCUUUCUUAUAUGUUUGGCCAUUUGCCUGAAGACCAAGAUGCCUUUUUUAUAUUUUGCUUAAGGAUUAGCAUGAUUGCUUCUCGAUAGCUUUCCGAAAAGUAGGGAGUCUAGUGGUACACCCGGUACUUCCCUCGAUUAUGUCAAUUAAUGAACUAUACGCAAGCAUAUUGCACUACGUGAAACCACCCAUAUUAGUAAUAGACAAAGAAAGUGCAUAAAGUCCGUUAGUGUUCUAUGCCCCCUAGUUAGCAACAACCUUGCCUUUUCUCACGUACUAAAAUAUCCCGCGAUGAAGCAAAGUUAGUGUCUAAUGGACAUACGAGACUUGGAUGAUAAUCCAAUCUUUGCCUUUCUUGGGCUUAAACAUUGGUGUGAAUGCAGCACUAAGCCUAUCUCAUAUCCACGAGAUUAAAGGACCGAGUCCGCUGUUUGCUCUAGAACCCCUAGUUCAACCUUCGAAGACGACUGGCAUAACCCGUCAAGAUGUUCCUAUCUUGUUCUUCAUCGUCCCACAACCUUUCCUUACAAAAUUCCUUUAUUGCGGUAUCGACGUAUCUUCCCUGGCUUCUUAUGACACUGUGGUAUACUAUCAUUAGAUCAUACCCGACAGAUAAAUAGUGGAUUAGUCAUGUGAAAUACGGGACAUGAGGGUGUACAUGUGAAACCCCUAGCUUCUUAUCUGAGAUUUCAUUUUCCAGUUGGUCACACUCUCAGCCGUCACUCUCAGAUCCAACGUCGCCAUCUGUGCACUGCUUCUCGCCAAAACAAUCACAGUUCUGCGGCGCUGUUGCCCAGUUGCCCCUGGCUCACACCCUCCUCUCCAAGCUUGGAGGUCACCUUAGACCAUGAAAAACCCUCCCACUAACUUACCGUUGACUCAAAAAGUUUGCCACUGACCUCUUGGUUCACAUAUGUUCACAACCCUUGAAAUCUCCCUAUGAUAUUUUAGACAGCUAAACCGUAGGAGGUGUGAUAUAAAGAAUAAGGCAUAAGAGCAUGAAUGUGAAGAACGCGACCAGAGAGGAACAUAUUGCGGGUACUUCGUGGCUACUGCAACUAACACA